GAUGAACGCUGGCGGCGUGCCUAACACAUGCAAGUCGAGCGGCAGCGAGGGGUGCUUGCACCCUGUCGGCGAGCGGCGGACGGCUGAGUAACGCGUGGGAACGUGCCCCAAAGUGAGGAAUAACUGCCCGAAAGGGUAGCUAAUACCGCAUAUUAUCUUCGGAUCAAAGGAUUUAUCCGCUUUGGGAGCGGCUCGCGUCGGAUUAGGUAGUUGGUGAGGUAAUGGCUCACCAAGCCGACGAUCCGUAGCUGGUCUGAGAGGAUGACCAGCCAGACUGGAACUGAGACACGGUCCAGACUCCUACGGGAGGCAGCAGUGAGGAAUCUUCCACAAUGGGCGAAAGCCUGAUGGAGCAACGCCGCGUGCAGGACGAAGGCCUUCGGGUUGUAAGCUGCUUUUAUAAGUGAGGAAUAUGACGGUAACUUAUGAAUAAGGAUCGGCUAACUACGUG
This 451-nucleotide ribosomal RNA is filed under the name uncultured bacterium. RNAcentral describes it as "partial 16S ribosomal RNA". It matches the Rfam family "Bacterial small subunit ribosomal RNA", at positions 28 to 507 of the family's 1533-position model. The record is from RNAcentral.